This 1978-nucleotide ribosomal RNA is filed under the name Alexandrium fundyense. RNAcentral describes it as "eukaryotic LSU rRNA". The stretch from base 1 to 510 matches the Rfam family "Eukaryotic small subunit ribosomal RNA", at positions 1299 to 1831 of the family's 1831-position model. Lineage: Eukaryota; Dinophyceae; Gonyaulacales; Pyrocystaceae. The record is from RNAcentral.
UGGUGGAGUGAUUUGUCUGGUUAAUUCCGUUAACGAACGAGACCUUAACCUGCUAAAUAGUUACAUGUAAUUUCGAUUAUGUGGGCAACUUCUUAGAGGGACGUUGUGUGUAUAAUGCAAGGAAGUUUGAGGCAAUAACAGGUAUGUGAUGCCCUUAGAUGUUCUGGGCUGCACGUGCGCUACACUGAUGUGUUCAACGAGUUGUCAACCUUGCCUGGAAAGGUUUGGUAUUCUUGAACAGGCAUCGUGAUGGGGAUUGUUUAUUGCAAUUAUUAACCUUCAACGAGGAAUUCCUAGUAAGCUUGAGUCAUCAGCCUGUGCUGAUUAUGUCCCUGCCCUUUGUACACACCGCCCGUCGCUCCUACCGAUUGAGUGAUCCGGUGAAUAAUUUGGACUGUAGCAAUGUUCAGUUCUUGAACAAUGCAAUGGCAAAUUUAAUGAACCUUAUCACUUAGAGGAAGGAGAAGUCGUAACAAGGUUUCUGUAGGUGAACCUGCGGAAGGAUCAUUUGCACACGUGUAUACACUAACCUGCUAAUGAUAUUGUGGGCGGUGUAAGCUUGCAUUACAAUAAUAUUCCAUGUGUCCUGGGCUGUGUGACUUGUUUUGCAAUCAUGCGUUAUGCGUUGCAUAAACAAGUUUGGUAAACUGAGUGGUGCUGUGUUUGUGUACGAUGAUUAUGUUUUGCAAAGAAUGUUUUAGUUCAAUAAAUGAUGAAGAAUGCAGCAAAAUGCAUUAUGCAUUGUGAAUUGCAGAAUUCCGUGAGCUAACAGAUGUUUGAAUGUUACUUGUGCCUUUGGGAUAUUCUUGAAGGUUUGCUUGAUUCAAUGCCAAUUACCUUCCAUAUGCAAUACUGCUGUUUAGCAUUGCUGUGAACAAAGAGAGUCAAUGUGUAUUGCAUUGAACCUGGAUGUGUUGCAGCUGCUUUGCAACCUAAACAUGGUUGAUUGGGGGCAAACUUGUUUCGUCAUGUGCUGGUUGCUGUUUUGUAAAAUGUGAACAACUGAGACAAGCUGAAGACUUGCAUAUGCUUAGCAUGAAGUGAAGCACAUACACCUGCUGAAUUUAAGCAUAUAAGUAAGUGGUGGAAAUUAAACCAAAUGGGAUAUCUUUAGUAAUUGCGAAUGAACAAGGAUAUGCUUAGCUUGACAAAUGGAGCUAUUGGCUUUGAAUUGUAUUGUGGAAAUGUAUUACCAACAGAGGUGCAGGUGCCAGCCUAUUGAAAUAAAGCGUCAAUGAGGGUGAGAAUCCUGUUUGUCAUGUGCAGCCCUUUGUGCACGGUGUAUAUUUGCUGAGUCACACUCCUUGGCAUUGGAAUGCAAAGUGGGUGGUAAGUUUCACGUAAAGGUAAACAUGCAAUUGAGACUGAUAGCACACAAGUACCAUGAGGGAAAUAUGAAAAGGACUUUGAAAAGAGAAUUAAAUGAGUUUGUAUUUGCUGAACACAAAGUAAACAGACUUGAUUUGCUUGGUGGGAGUGUUGCACUUGCUUGACAAGAGCUUUGGGCUGUGGGUGUAAUGAUUCUUUCUUUGCAUGCCAGUUUCUAUUUGUACAUCUGAUUACCUUUGCACAUGAAUGAUAAGUCUCCUGUGGGGGGUGGAUUGCAUGUGCAUGUAAUGAUUUGUGUUUUGAUAAAUGUGUCUGGUGUAUGUGUGUGUUCCUGUGCUUGGGGAUGCUUCCUUCCUUGGACUUACAAGCCCUGACACACACAUGCUGGCAAAAUGCUUCUGCUUGACCCGUCUUGAAACACGGACCAAGGAGUCUAACAGAUGUGCAAAGUUUGAAGGUGGUAUACCUUUGUGUGCAAUGAAAGUGUCAGCUGGGAUAUGUGCACCAGCACCCAAUUAAUUAGCGGACAGAGGUUUGAGUUGGAGCAUAUCUAUUAGGACCCGAAAGAUGGUGAACUAUGCCUGAACAGAAUGAAUUCAGAGGAAACUCUGAUGGAGGUUCGUAUCGAUACUGACGUGCAAAUCGUUCG